UGCUCCAGUUCGUUUCCUCAAAUUGGUUUCGUGUUCUAACUUCUCUCAGGUAUUGGCUUCCUAAAACUUGCUCAUAUGGACUCUUGGCUAUACCGAAAUGCAGGUUCAGACAGUACGGCUUGUGGGACAGGUAUACCGACAUACACCCGGAAUCCGAUCAAGUAUUCACGAUAGGGGUCAAUGAUCCAAAGAAAGACUGGUUUUUUGCCCAUGUUGACAGGAGAGGACCAGAUAAGUAUCUUCUCACAACAUGGACUAUCAAGUUCAAUCUGAACUCAGUGACAGGAGGAACCUACAAGCUCAGGUUGGCGAUUGCAUCAGCUACUCGCUCCGAUCUUCAGGUUCAUAUAAACUCCAUGGAUCAAGAACGUUUAGUGUUCCAAGUGAUGAAUUUGGGAACAGAUAACACAGUAUGCAGACAUGGUAUCCAUGGAUUAUACCGUCUUUUCAACUUUGACAUUUCUUCGUCAUUGUUGCUAAAGGGAGACAAUUCAAUGUAUCUCACGCAAGCCAGAGGAGGCGAUGCGCUAUGCGGAAUCCUCUAUGACUAUAUACGCCUUGAAGCGCCAGCAACUGAUUAGAGCGAGUUUAAGCAGCUAUGGAACUUGCUACUGACAUCUCAAUCACUAUGGAUGACGAGCUAUUGCGGAGAAGAGAUGAAGAAUAUUUUGCUAGGCAAAGAAAAGCAUGAAAAUUCUCUGAUAAAAGUAUAAAAGUAGAUUCCCGCCAUUAGCAAAUAAUUAAUUGCAUUUUUCCUGUUUCAUUAUUUCAUUUUCAGAAGCACAUUUGGCUGCUUCGCAGGUACAGAGUAUUGUACAAGACUUGGUUAUCGCUCAUCUA
Molecule: RNA transcript, 840 nt
Organism: Syzygium oleosum
Lineage: Eukaryota; Viridiplantae; Streptophyta; Magnoliopsida; Myrtales; Myrtaceae
Exons: 3
Source: RefSeq, a predicted model, not a curated record